GGGCAAAGCAGCAUUAGUCAUUUGCCCUGUGGCCUGGGGACCGACCUGUCCUAAACAGUCCUUUUCUAGACAUGGGAAGGAAGCUCUGGCCGUAGACACAGCACUAGGCAUAUUCGUAUCCAGUGGAGCUUCCAAGAAGUGUGCCCAGCUGGGCUGGAAAGAAAAAAGACUGGAAAAAGGGACUCCGAUGCCGGUUGUCUAAACAGAGAGAGUGUUUCCCUCCUGGACAGGAUCACCCUAUAUAAGACACCCCUCCACCUCCACCAUUGGCCUUCAUAUCGAGGAUUAGCUUGGCGUCCCGAGCUCGCUCGCGGAGGGAACGACCCUGCGCGCGUCCGCCCGGCCGGCUCCGACACAAACACACGCACGUGCGCCCCGCCCCCGCCGCGCGC
This 392-nucleotide long non-coding RNA is filed under the name Saimiri boliviensis boliviensis (Bolivian squirrel monkey). Its description in RNAcentral is "lncRNA (ENSSBOG00000036690.1)". The record is from RNAcentral. Lineage: Eukaryota; Metazoa; Chordata; Mammalia; Primates; Cebidae.